Mustela putorius furo (domestic ferret) is the source of this 109-nucleotide small nuclear RNA. The record is from Ensembl. NCBI's taxonomy places the organism in Eukaryota, Metazoa, Chordata, Mammalia, Carnivora, Mustelidae.
GUGUUUGCUUCUGUAGCACAUACACUAAAAAACUGGAAUGAUACAGGGAAGAUAAGCAUGGUCCCUGUGCAAGGAAGACAUAUAAAUUUGUGAAGUGUUCCAUAUUUUU